AGGAACUUAGGAUAACAAACUAGUCCACGAGCCUUCAAAGCCCGUCGUGGGGGUGAAAAUCCUCCAGGCCCUG
This 73-nucleotide transfer RNA is filed under the name Lepturacanthus savala (Savalani hairtail). Its description in RNAcentral is "tRNA-Trp". It matches the Rfam family "tRNA". From Rfam's summary of the family: Transfer RNA (tRNA) molecules are approximately 80 nucleotides in length. Their secondary structure includes four short double-helical elements and three loops (D, anti-codon, and T loops). Lineage: Eukaryota; Metazoa; Chordata; Actinopteri; Scombriformes; Trichiuridae. RNAcentral also lists the same sequence under 1 other name. The record is from RNAcentral.